AGACAGAGUUCAGACAUUGAAACCAAACUCCAAGAAGAGAAAGUUUCUUCGUUUUCUCAUACAGCUUCAAAUUCAAAGGGGAGGUUAGUUGACAUACCAUUAAAAAGUUGUGACUCUGCUCUAAGAUCCAUGCAACAGACCGGCUGCGGCAGGGGUUCUGUACGUCCCAUUCUCUGAGAUUCAGCCCCAAGUGUGACACGAUAUUUUCACCUGAAACGAGGAUACCAAUGGGAUAUGGUGUUGCAGUCGGAUUUUUCAUAUACUUUUGAGUCUAGAGCAGAGUAAUCUGUGACCACAACCACUUUCUUAUACAUCUGGAAAACCAACCUGGUUGAGCCAAGGAAGAAGUAUGGCCAAAAAGAAAAUGAAAAGACAUGCGAAGGCAUAUCAAAGCAUCAUCUUUGAUCUUUCAGAACCAGAAGUUAUCCCUCAAGAAACCCACCAAGAGUCUCAUGACUCUACUGGAACGACUUCCCUUUUGUACGUUGUCUUUUCCUGAAGAAUUAUGGAAGACUCAAGAGAGCAAGAAACGUGAGUGCACAAAAACAAAAUGUAAACUUAAAUGCUUCCACUAGUAAUAUUUAAUUUUCCUUUAGUGUUGUUUUUAUUCUGGAUAAAGAAUAGAGAGCUCCAUCA
Raphanus sativus (radish) is the source of this 636-nucleotide long non-coding RNA. RefSeq lists it as uncharacterized. NCBI's taxonomy places the organism in Eukaryota, Viridiplantae, Streptophyta, Magnoliopsida, Brassicales, Brassicaceae. The record is from RefSeq and is a predicted model, not a curated record. The transcript is spliced from 4 exons.